AGGGGAAACGAUAUUGGAAGCUUGCUUCCGAUAGGCGUCGACCGGCGCACGGGUGAGUAACGCGUAUCCAACCUGCCCGACCACUUGGGGAUAACCUUGCGAAAGUAAGACUAAUACCCAAUGAUAUCUCUAGAAGACAUCUGAAAGAGAUUAAAGAUUUAAUCGGUGAUGGAUGGGGAUGCGUCUGAUUAGCUUGUUGGCGGGGUAACGGCCCACCAAGGCAACGAUCAGUAGGGGUUCUGAGAGGAAGGUCCCCCCACAUUGGGACUGAGACACGGUCCAAACUCC
Molecule: ribosomal RNA, 288 nt
Filed under: uncultured Prevotella sp.
Lineage: Bacteria; Pseudomonadati; Bacteroidota; Bacteroidia; Bacteroidales; Prevotellaceae
Description: partial 16S ribosomal RNA
Rfam family: Bacterial small subunit ribosomal RNA
Source: RNAcentral